GAACUCAACUCACAAACUGUGAGAUCAUGAGCUGAGCUGAAGUCAGACACUUAACCCGACUCCACUACCCAGGCACCUCUUAAUAUAUCUCCUUUUUUAUAUACAAGAAAAAUGAAGCACAGAGACGUCAAGGUUGUAUUUAUUUAAGGUUAUCUUGUUCAAAGUGUGUUCAAGGUUACAUAGGUAGCCGGUCGCAGAGUUGUGGAUUCAGACCAAAGCAGACUGACCCUGUGUUCUUCCCUGUCUUCCUUGAGGACUCUGUCUUUAUCUCCAUAGACCAGAGGUAGUCCUGCCAUCACAGUGGCCAUUAUGACAUGUAGGCCUUCAGGCAUUGCUUUAGAAACUGGUCCACUCAUAAUUUACCCCAGACCUCUUUUACUCCAUGAAGACGGAGUUAGCAUCCCUAGGAGGCAGCAACAUGACAGAGUGGGGUUCCAGUCUUACCCACCAACCCCCAGUACCAUCUGACCCAUCACGUCUGUGCUCUCUUAUGUAAUUACGUAUAUUCCAGGUGGAGCCAAAUCUCUCUUUAGUGUCUUGUCUUCCACAAUAUACAUAAAACAAUGAUCUGAAAGUCAACCAAAUGCUGUCUUUCAAAAGGCCCUCUGAACAGACACAACAUUGCACAGUGCUAAAGAGGAAGAGUUUGAUGUUUUAAGCAGAGAGAACCAGAGAGCAAGACAGAGUCAGGGAUAGAGAAAGAGAGAGAUGGGUGACAGAGUGGGACACUCUCAUUUGAAAGUCAGCUGGAAUAUAGACGCCAGGUGUCUAUAUCCCAAGGGACUUGGGAGCCACCCAGGAGAACCAUUGACCUGAGGGCAGAAGGAACCAGGCGAGAUGCUUGUCAGUAACAAAAUUUGGUCACUAGUUGGGACGAUGAAAUGACCAUUGUGAGUAUGGCCUGGUACAUUCAGGAGGCUGUGAGUAGAAAUUUAAAGAAGUCUUCGUAUAGUCUGCAACACUAUAGCAUAGGCAACACUGCUUGAUUGGUCACUCGUAGAGACAGAAAAAAGGCAUUCUUCCUCAUUUCUCUAUUUCCCGGGCAUUUAGCAUUCCUGAGUUCAUUGUGUUCCCCUGACCAAAGUAGUCGGUUCAUGGAUGACCACACAAUGCAACUGGAGCCAUUACUUGGUCUUUUGUAAAAGCAACUGGUAGGGAGGGGAGUUUAUGACCUCAGGGAUUUAAAUCUGGGAGAAGAUAGCCUUUUACUGCUGGGCCCUCUUUUCAUCACAGGGCAUCUGCAAAUGAAGCCAUUGUGAAGGACGGCAGACCUGAGAGAGACCUCAUUUGAGCCUCUGGAUUAAUAUCCCUCCUUGCGUCAACCAGUCUGAUGUGGAUUUUCUGACCUUUGCUACCAAAGUGUUCACAGUGGGGCCGAUAGUGAUGGAUUGGGUCAUUUUUUAAGCUAGAUUUCGCAGGGAAACCCUCUCUAAGCAUCUGGAAGUCUGUGGAUCAAGCUUUUCCUAAAAUUGUGAGACGGUCAACUGAUCACACUGCUUCUUUGUCUCCAGCCACUCAGUAUUUGAGGUGUGGCAUUUGCUCCUGUAAACUCCCAGGGCUAAGUUGUGCGAGGGCUCACAGAUGUGUUUUGCACUUAUGCACACUUCAUUUGUCUUCCUCCUAUGAGUUAUGGUUGCUUCAAAUCUACCGAUCAAUGUGUCCUCCUAGUAACAGACAUUGGAAAAAUGUGUAUGUUUCUCUGAACAGGAGUUGUUGGCUUACUGUGGGAACAGCUGAAUCCUCUCUCGAGCCAUAGUCCUGAGGUUCCUUUGCGUUCCAUGAUCUUCUGUUUUUGCCUUUUCCCGAUGAAACCAUGAAUCACUGGAGAGCUACUUAGAAGGAUUGUGGAAGUGUGUACCUUCUAAAGCUGCACCUCUUCUGCUUUGUGUCCUACAUCCUACGUAUCCAGAAGUGGUCCCUACAUCCAGUGACAAGUUUCUUAUAAGACACAAACGAGAAGACACAGGACAGAAGGCCAUGUGACAACAGAGGCAGAGACUGGAAUGAUGGGGCCACAAGCCAAAGAAUACCUGGAGCCACCAGAAACCAGAAAAAACAGGGAGGAUUGUCCCCCGGAGAUGGCAGAGGGAGCACAGCCCUGCUGACCCCUUGAUUUCAUACUUCUGGCCUCCAAAGCUCUGAGAGAAUAAACUGUUUUAAGCACUC
Felis catus (domestic cat) is the source of this 2166-nucleotide long non-coding RNA. RefSeq lists it as uncharacterized. The transcript has 6 exons. NCBI's taxonomy places the organism in Eukaryota, Metazoa, Chordata, Mammalia, Carnivora, Felidae. The record is from RefSeq and is a predicted model, not a curated record.